UUACAGAGUUGCAAAACUCCCAAACCAUUGUGAACGUUACCUAUACUGUUGCUUCGGCGGGUGGCCCCAGGUUUUUUCCUGGGUGCCCCUGGGCCCCUUGUGGGUGCCCGCCGGAGGUUACCAAACUCUUGAUAUUUAUGGCCUCUCUGAGUCUUCUGUACUGAAUAAGUCAAAACUUUCAACAACGGAUCUCUUGGUUCUGGCAUCGAUGAAGAACGCAGCGAAAUGCGAUAAGUAAUGUGAAUUGCAGAAUUCAGUGAAUCAUCGAAUCUUUGAACGCACAUUGCGCCCGCCAGUAUUCUGGCGGGCAUGCCUGUUCGAGCGUCAUUUCAACCAUCAAGCCCUCGGCUUGUGUUGGGGACCUGCGGCUGCCGCAGGCCCUAAAAAACAGUGGCGGGCUCGCUGUCACACCGAGCGUAGUAGUAUUAUCUCGCUCUGGGCGUGCUGCGGGUUCCGGCCGUUAAACCACCUUAUAACCCAAGGUUGACCUCGGAUCAGGUAGGAAGACCCGCUGAACUUAAGCAUAUCAAUAAGCGGAGGAAAAGAAACCAACAGGGAUUGCCCUAGUAACGGCGAGUGAAGCGGCAACAGCUCAAAUUUGAAAUCUGGCUUCGGCCCGAGUUGUAAUUUGCAGAGGAAGCUUUAGGCGCGGCACCAUCUGAGUCCCCUGGAACGGGGCGCCAUAGAGGGUGAGAGCCCCGUAUAGAUGGACGCCUAGCCUGUGUAAAGCUCCUUCGACGAGUCGAGUAGUUUGGAUGCUGCUCAAA
This 767-nucleotide ribosomal RNA is filed under the name fungal sp. RNAcentral describes it as "eukaryotic LSU rRNA". The stretch from base 485 to 767 matches the Rfam family "Eukaryotic large subunit ribosomal RNA", at positions 1 to 291 of the family's 3401-position model. Lineage: Eukaryota; Fungi. The record is from RNAcentral.